This 253-nucleotide ribosomal RNA is filed under the name uncultured bacterium. Its description in RNAcentral is "partial 16S ribosomal RNA". It matches the Rfam family "Bacterial small subunit ribosomal RNA", at positions 524 to 776 of the family's 1533-position model. The record is from RNAcentral.
GACAGAGGGUGCAAACGUUGUUCGGAAUUACUGGGCGUAAAGCGCGUGUAGGCGGCCCUGCAAGUCGGAUGUGAAAUCCCACGGCUCAACCGUGGAAGUGCAUUCGAAACUGCAGGGCUAGAGUCCUGGAGAGGAAGGUGGAAUGCUUGGUGUAGAGGUGAAAUUCGUAGAUAUCAAGCGGAACACCGGUGGCGAAGGCGGCCUUCUGGACAGUGACCGACGCUGAGACGCGAAAGCGUGGGGAGCAAACAGG